CCUACGGGAGGCAGCAGUGAGGAAUAUUGGUCAAUGGGCGAAAGCCUGAACCAGCCAAGUCGCGUGAGGGAUGAAUGCCCUAUGGGUGGUAAACUUCUUUUAUAGAGGAGUAAAACCGGGCACGUGUCCCUUUUUGCAUGUACUUUAUGAAUAAAGAUAGGCUAACUCCGUUCCAUGCGCCGCGGUAAUACGGAGGGUCGGAGCGUUGUCCGGAUUUAUUUGGUUUAAAGGGAGCGUAGGUGGGUGGUUAAGUCAGUUGUGAAAGAUUGGGGCUCAACCGUAGAAUGGCAGUUGAUACUGGGAGUCUUGAGUGCAGUAGAGGUAGGUGGAAUUCGUGGUGUAGCGGUGAAAGGCGUAGAUAUCACGAAGAACCCCGAUUGCGAAGGCAGCUUUCUGGCCUGUAACUGACGCUGAGGCUCGAAAGUGGGGGUAUCAAACAGGAUUAGAUACCCUUGUAGUC
Molecule: ribosomal RNA, 460 nt
Filed under: uncultured bacterium
Lineage: Bacteria
Description: partial 16S ribosomal RNA
Rfam family: Bacterial small subunit ribosomal RNA
Source: RNAcentral